ACCGUUCACUACAACCGAGAUGC
RNAcentral lists this non-coding RNA (23 nucleotides) under Arabidopsis thaliana (thale cress). Lineage: Eukaryota; Viridiplantae; Streptophyta; Magnoliopsida; Brassicales; Brassicaceae. The record is from RNAcentral.